This 370-nucleotide ribosomal RNA is filed under the name uncultured bacterium. RNAcentral's name for it is "bacterial SSU rRNA". It matches the Rfam family "Bacterial small subunit ribosomal RNA", at positions 123 to 507 of the family's 1533-position model. The record is from RNAcentral.
GAUCUGCCCUGCACUUCGGGAUAAGCCUGGGAAACUGGGUCUAAUACCGGAUAUGACCUCCGAUCGCAUGGUUGGUGGUGGAAAGAUUUAUCGGUGCAGGAUGGGCCCGCGGCCUAUCAGCUUGUUGGUGGGGUAAUGGCCUACCAAGGCGACGACGGGUAGCCGGCCUGAGAGGGCGACCGGCCACACUGGGACUGAGACACGGCCCAGACUCCUACGGGAGGCAGCAGUGGGGAAUAUUGCACAAUGGGCGAAAGCCUGAUGCAGCGACGCCGCGUGAGGGAUGACGGCCUUCGGGUUGUAAACCUCUUUCAGCAGGGACGAAGCGCAAGUGACGGUACCUGCAGAAGAAGCACCGGCCAACUACGUG